GGCGGCGUACUGGCUGGAGGCAGCUCGCCGCCGCUGCCCCUGUCCGGCGGGCACGGGUAGCUGGGGCCUGGGGCUUUCGAGCGCGGUGAGCGCGCCUCGGACUAUAUUCUCCCGCCUCUUUGGGUACGCGGGACCUGCCUGGAGCGCGGGUCCCGUGCCUCGAGCGGACUCCUGUAGGAUGAACCUGAGAAGCUUCCGGGAUGGGACAUAGGCUUGUGCAGCGAGGUUCGCGCAAGUCCGGGGGAUGCCGUAGAGCGCGCACUGCCGUGGCGGGUCUAGGAACUUGUGACGGCUUUUAUUUUCUGGACCUGGUACUGAGCCGCCAGUGCCAGUUCUAAAACCUCACAGUGCAAUGCAGCUGCUACCUGCAUUCCUGUAUCCGCUAUUAGAACGGAUGUUUCCUAGCCUCUUUGUUGCAAAAAGAACUUGAAGGGCUUAAUUGUGGUACCGUGUAAUCAGGGUCAUCCCCCAUAACUGCAAAAACAAGUCUGAAACUCAACACUUGUAAAUAAAACUGGAAAACCGCGAAAACAAAAGUAAUUCUUUCUUUCCUUCUUCUUUCCUUCUUUCUUUCCUACCAAAUGCAAUCAUUUUGCUGGGUGUGGUGGUGCAGGCCGCUCAGGAGGAGGAGGAGGUAACAAAUUAAUGGGGCUGGGGUUGUGGCUCCGCGGUAGAGCGC
Molecule: long non-coding RNA, 679 nt
Filed under: Marmota monax (woodchuck)
Lineage: Eukaryota; Metazoa; Chordata; Mammalia; Rodentia; Sciuridae
Source: RNAcentral